AUAUCAAUAAGCGGAGGAAAAGAAACCAACAGGGAUUGCCUUAGUAACGGCGAGUGAAGCGGCAAGAGCUCAAAUUUGAAAUCUGGUACUUUCAGUGCCCGAGUUGUAAUUUGAAGAGUGCUAUCUUGGAAUUGGUCCUUGUCUAUGUUCCUUGGAACAGGACGUCAUAGAGGGUGAGAAUCCCGUGCGGUGAGGAUACCUUUUCUUUGUAAGAUGUGCUCGAAGAGUCGAGUUGUUUGGGAAUGCAGCUCUAAGUGGGUGGUAAAUUCCAUCUAAAGCUAAAUAUUGGCGAGAGACCGAUAGCGAACAAGUACAGUGAUGGAAAGAUGAAAAGAACUUUGAAAAGAGAGUGAAAAAGUACGUGAAAUUGUUGAAAGGGAAGGGUAUUCGAUCAGACUUGGUAUUUAGUUAUCUCUUCUCCUUGUGGGAGGGGCUCUAGCUUUUUACUGGGCCAGCAUCAGUUUUGGUGGUAAGAUAAUUGCAGUUGAACGUGGCUCCUCGGAGUGUUUAUAGCUUCUGCUGAUAUUGCCCACCGGGACUGAGGUCUGCGGCUUUAGCCUAGGAUGCUGGCGUAAU
Molecule: ribosomal RNA, 576 nt
Filed under: [Candida] sp. BG02-7-20-001A-2-1
Lineage: Eukaryota; Fungi; Ascomycota; Saccharomycetes; Saccharomycetales
Description: eukaryotic LSU rRNA
Rfam family: Eukaryotic large subunit ribosomal RNA
Source: RNAcentral